UACCAGCACCCCGAGUGUCGGGACGUUUAUUGGGCCUAAAGCAUCCGUAGCCGGUUCUACAAGUUCUUCCGUUAAAUCCAACCUGCUUAACAGGUGGGCUGCGGAAGAUACUAUAGAGCUAGGAGGCGGGAGAGGCAAGCGGUACUCGAUGGGUAGGGGUAAAAUCCGUUGAUCCAUUGAAGACCACCAGUGGCGAAGGCGGCUUGCCAGAACGCGCUCGACGGUGAGGGAUGAAAGCUGGGGGAGCAAACCGG
RNAcentral lists this ribosomal RNA (254 nucleotides) under uncultured bacterium. RNAcentral's name for it is "partial 16S ribosomal RNA". It matches the Rfam family "Archaeal small subunit ribosomal RNA", at positions 474 to 727 of the family's 1478-position model. The record is from RNAcentral.